CCCUACGGGGNGCANCAGGCGCGAAAAUUCUGCAAUACACGAAAGUGUGACAGAGGAACUUCGAGUGCUCACACUGUGAGCUUUUGCCAACUGCAGUAAGGUUGGCGAAUAAGGGGUGGGUAAGAUACGUGCCAGCCGCCGCGGUAA
RNAcentral lists this ribosomal RNA (147 nucleotides) under uncultured euryarchaeote. RNAcentral's name for it is "partial 16S ribosomal RNA". It matches the Rfam family "Archaeal small subunit ribosomal RNA", at positions 321 to 473 of the family's 1478-position model. Lineage: Archaea; Methanobacteriati; Methanobacteriota. The record is from RNAcentral.